CGAACGCGCUGUGACUGACGGGUACGCGUGGGAAACCACGGGGGAGCAGCGCGCUUAUCCCGCCGACCGUCUGGGCAAGCCUU
This 83-nucleotide non-coding RNA is filed under the name Adlercreutzia equolifaciens. Its description in RNAcentral is "ZTP sequence". It matches the Rfam family "ZMP/ZTP riboswitch aptamer (pfl RNA motif)". From Rfam's summary of the family: Previously known as pfl RNA. ZMP is also known as AICAR. The record is from RNAcentral. Lineage: Bacteria; Bacillati; Actinomycetota; Coriobacteriia; Eggerthellales; Eggerthellaceae.